UACAGAGGGUGCAAGCGUUAAUCGGAUUUACUGGGCGUAAAGCGUGCGUAGGCGGUUCAUUAAGUCGGUUGUGAAAUCCCUGGGCUUAACCUGGGAACUGCAGUCGAUACUGGUGGACUAGAGUACGGCAGAGGGUGGCGGAACUCCGGGUGUAGCGGUGAAAUGCGUAGAUAUCCGGAAGAACACCGAUGGCGAAGGCAACCACCUGGGCCUGUACUGACGCUGAGGUGCGAAAGCGUGGGGAGCAAACAGG
This 253-nucleotide ribosomal RNA is filed under the name uncultured bacterium. Its description in RNAcentral is "partial 16S ribosomal RNA". It matches the Rfam family "Bacterial small subunit ribosomal RNA", at positions 524 to 776 of the family's 1533-position model. The record is from RNAcentral.